GACGAACGCUGGCGGCGUGCCUAAUACAUGCGAGUUGAGCGCUGAAGGUUGGUACUUGUACCAACUGGAUGAGCAGCGAACGGGUGAGUAACGCGUGGGGAAUCUGCCUUUGAGCGGGGGACAACAUUUGGAAACGAAUGCUAAUACCGCAUAAAAACUUUAAACACAAGUUUUAAGUUUGAAAGAUGCAAUUGCAUCACUCAAAGAUGAUCCCGCGUUGUAUUAGCUAAUUGGUGAGGUAAAGGCUCACCAAGGCGAUGAUACAUAGCCGACCUGAGAGGGUGAUCGGCCACAUUGGGACUGAGACACGGCCCAAACUCCUACGGGAGGCAGCAGUAGGGAAUCUUCGGCAAUGGACGAAAGUCUGACCGAGCAACGCCGCGUGAGUGAAGAAGGUUUUCGGAUCGUAAAACUCUGUUGGUAGAGAAGAACGUUGGUGAGAGUGGAAAGCUCAUCAAGUGACGGUAACUACCCAGAAAGGGACGGCUAACUACGUG
RNAcentral lists this ribosomal RNA (497 nucleotides) under uncultured bacterium. RNAcentral describes it as "partial 16S ribosomal RNA". It matches the Rfam family "Bacterial small subunit ribosomal RNA", at positions 28 to 507 of the family's 1533-position model. The record is from RNAcentral.